This 465-nucleotide ribosomal RNA is filed under the name Vreelandella stevensii. RNAcentral's name for it is "partial 16S ribosomal RNA". It matches the Rfam family "Bacterial small subunit ribosomal RNA", at positions 338 to 795 of the family's 1533-position model. Lineage: Bacteria; Pseudomonadati; Pseudomonadota; Gammaproteobacteria; Oceanospirillales; Halomonadaceae. The record is from RNAcentral.
CCUACGGGCGGCUGCAGUGGGGAAUAUUGGACAAUGGGGGCAACCCUGAUCCAGCCAUGCCGCGUGUGUGAAGAAGGCCCUCGGGUUGUAAAGCACUUUCAGUGAGGAAGAACGCCUGGUGGUUAAUACCCAUCAGGAAAGACAUCACUCACAGAAGAAGCACCGGCUAACUCCGUGCCAGCAGCCGCGGUAAUACGGAGGGUGCGAGCGUUAAUCGGAAUUACUGGGCGUAAAGCGCGCGUAGGUGGCUUGAUAAGCCGGUUGUGAAAGCCCCGGGCUCAACCUGGGAACGGCAUCCGGAACUGUCAAGCUAGGGUGCAGGAGAGGAAGGUAGAAUUCCCGGUGUAGCGGUGAAAUGCGUAGAGAUCGGGAGGAAUACCAGUGGCGAAGGCGGCCUUCUGGACUGACACUGACACUGAGGUGCGAAAGCGUGGGUAGCAAACAGGAUUAGAUACCCCAGUAGUC